Molecule: ribosomal RNA, 200 nt
Filed under: uncultured bacterium
Lineage: Bacteria
Description: partial 16S ribosomal RNA
Rfam family: Bacterial small subunit ribosomal RNA
Source: RNAcentral
AGUGAACGCUGGCGGCGUGCCUAAUACAUGCAAGUCGAACGCGAAAGUCCUUCGGGAUGAGUAAAGUGGCGCACGGGUGAGUAAUGGUUGAGAACAUGCCCUGAGGUGGGGAAGUAACAGUUGGAAACGACUGCUAAUACCGCAUGGUGUCGCGAGACUAAAGGUGGGGACCGCAAGGCCUACCGCCACAGGAUUGGCUC